CAACUUGAGAGUUUGAUCCUGGCUCAGAACGAACGCUGGCGGCAUGCUUAACACAUGCAAGUCGAACGAGGGCCCGGAGCUUGCUCCGGUCACCCUAGUGGCGGACGGGUGAGUAACGCGUGGGAACCUGCCCUGGAGUGGGGAACAACCACUGGAAACGGUGGCUAAUACCGCAUACGUCCUCCGGGAGAAAGGCUUCGGCCGCUCUUGGAUGGUCCCGCGUCCGAUUAGCUUGUUGGUGAGGUAACGGCUCACCAAGGCGACGAUCGGUAGCUGGUCUGAGAGGAUGAUCAGCCACACUGGGACUGAGACACGGCCCAGACUCCUA
Molecule: ribosomal RNA, 328 nt
Filed under: Rhodospirillales bacterium
Lineage: Bacteria; Pseudomonadati; Pseudomonadota; Alphaproteobacteria; Rhodospirillales
Description: bacterial SSU rRNA
Rfam family: Bacterial small subunit ribosomal RNA
Source: RNAcentral